GCGGAUGUAGUUUAGUGGCAGAGCAUCAGCUUCCCAAGCUGAGUAUGCGGGUUCGAUUCCCGUCAUCCGCUCCA
This 74-nucleotide transfer RNA is filed under the name Oscillospiraceae bacterium. Its description in RNAcentral is "tRNA-Gly". It matches the Rfam family "tRNA". Rfam says of the family: Transfer RNA (tRNA) molecules are approximately 80 nucleotides in length. Their secondary structure includes four short double-helical elements and three loops (D, anti-codon, and T loops). The record is from RNAcentral. Lineage: Bacteria; Bacillati; Bacillota; Clostridia; Eubacteriales; Oscillospiraceae.